UCCAGACUCCUACGGGAGGCAGCAGUGGGGAACAUUGCGCAAUGGGCGAAAGCCUGACGCAGCGACGCCGCGUGAGGGAUGAAGGUCUUCGGAUCGUAAACCUCUUUCAGCAGGGAAGAACGGUCACUGUGCUAAUCAGCAGUGAAUUGACGGUACCUGCAAAGGAAGCACCGGCUAACUCCGUGCCAGCAGCCGCGGUAAUACGUAGGGGGCGAGCGUUAUCCGGAUUCACUGGGUGUAAAGGGAGCGUAGACGGCCAAGCAAGCCAGGGGUGAAAGCCCGGGGCCCAACCCCGGGACUGCCCUUGGAACUGCGUGGCUGGAGUGCAGGAGGGGCAGGCGGAAUUCCUGGUGUAGCGGUGAAAUGCGUAGAUAUCAGGAGGAACACCGGUGGCGAAGGCGGCCUGCUGGACUGCAACUGACGUUGAGGCCCGAAAGCGUGGGGAGCAAACAGGAUUAGAUACCCCAGUACA
Molecule: ribosomal RNA, 472 nt
Filed under: uncultured bacterium
Lineage: Bacteria
Description: partial 16S ribosomal RNA
Rfam family: Bacterial small subunit ribosomal RNA
Source: RNAcentral